CAGGAAAUAGUUUAUUUAAAAUUUUAAUUUUGGAGAUUAAAGAUGGGAGUAUUUUCUUUCCUGA
This 64-nucleotide transfer RNA is filed under the name Semanotus bifasciatus. RNAcentral's name for it is "tRNA-Pro". The record is from RNAcentral. Lineage: Eukaryota; Metazoa; Arthropoda; Insecta; Coleoptera; Cerambycidae.